CAGAUUGCGAAGGACUCCUAAACCAUUGUGAACCUACCUUCUCACGUUGCUUCGGCGGGCGGGCCCCUCAGGGACGCAGCCCCCGGCCCUCCCGGCGGUAGGGCAGCCGCCGGAGGAUACCGAAACUCUUGACUAUAGUGGCUCUCUCUGAGUAUUUAACUGAAUAAGUCA
Molecule: unclassified non-coding RNA, 171 nt
Filed under: soil metagenome
Description: partial internal transcribed spacer 1
Source: RNAcentral